This 406-nucleotide ribosomal RNA is filed under the name uncultured bacterium. RNAcentral describes it as "partial 16S ribosomal RNA". It matches the Rfam family "Bacterial small subunit ribosomal RNA", at positions 30 to 526 of the family's 1533-position model. The record is from RNAcentral.
AUUGAACGCUGGCGGCAGGCCUAACACAUGCAAGUCGAACGAGUGGCGGACGGGUGAGUAAUGUCUGGGAAACUGCCUGAUGGAGGGGGAUAACUACUGUAAACGGUAGCUAAUACCGCAUACCAUCAGAUGUGCCCAGAUGGGAUUAGCUAGUUGGUGGGGCAACGGCUCACAAAGGCGACGAUCCCUACCGGGUCUGAGAGGAUGACCAGCAACACUGGAACAUAGACAAGGUCCAGAUUCCUACGGAAGGCAGCAGUGGGGAAUAUUGCACAAUGGGCGCAAGCCUGAUGCAGCCAUGCCGCGUGUAUGAAGAAGGCCUUCGGGUUGUAAAGUACUUUCAGCGGGGAGGCGUUACCCACAGAAGAAGCACCGGCUAACUCCGUGCCAGCAGCCGCGGUAAUUC